AUCCUUCCGUAGGUGAACCUGCGGAAGGAUCAUUAAAGGAGUGCAUCACCGCCCGACCUCACCCUUUGUUGUUAAAACUACCUUGUUGCUUUGGCGGGACGUGGGGCGCGAGCCGCUGGGGAUUCGUCCCAGGCGAGCGCCCCCAGUUAAACCAAACUCUUGUUAUUUAACCGGUCGUCUGAGUUAAAAUUUUGAAUAAAUCAAAACUUUCAACAACGGAUCUCUUGGUUCUCGCAUCGAUGAAGAACGCAGCGAAAUGCGAUAAGUAAUGUGAAUUGCAGAAUUCAGUGAAUCAUCGAAUCUUUGAACGCACAUUGCGCCCCUUGGUAUUCCGAGGGGCAUGCCUGUUCGAGCGUCAUUACACCACUCAAGCUAUGCUUGGUAUUGGGCGUCGUCCUUAGUUGGGCGCGCCUUAAAGACCUCGGCGAGGCCACUCCGGCUUUAGGCGUAGUAGAAUUUAUUCGAACGUCUGUCAAAGGAGAGGAACUCUGCCGACUGAAACCUUUAUUUUUCUAGGUUGACCUCGGAUCAGGUAGGGAUACCCGCUGAACUUAAGCAUAUCAAUAAGCGGAGGAA
This 576-nucleotide ribosomal RNA is filed under the name Aureobasidium pullulans. Its description in RNAcentral is "eukaryotic LSU rRNA". The stretch from base 205 to 358 matches the Rfam family "5.8S ribosomal RNA". The record is from RNAcentral. Lineage: Eukaryota; Fungi; Ascomycota; Dothideomycetes; Dothideales; Saccotheciaceae.